Molecule: ribosomal RNA, 482 nt
Filed under: uncultured bacterium
Lineage: Bacteria
Description: partial 16S ribosomal RNA
Rfam family: Bacterial small subunit ribosomal RNA
Source: RNAcentral
AUUGAACGCUGGCGGCAUGCCUUACACAUGCAAGUCGAACGGUAACGGGCCUUCGGGUGCCGACGAGUGGCGCACGGGUGAGUAAUACAUCGGAACGUGCCCGAUCGUGGGGGAUAACGAGGCGAAAGCUUUGCUAAUACCGCAUACGAUCUACGGAUGAAAGCAGGGGACCGCAAGGCCUUGCGCGGACGGAGCGGCCGAUGGCAGAUUAGGUAGUUGGUGGGAUAAAAGCUUACCAAGCCGACGAUCUGUAGCUGGUCUGAGAGGAUGAUCAGCCACACUGGGACUGAGACACGGCCCAGACUCCUACGGGAGGCAGCAGUGGGGAAUUUUGGACAAUGGGCGGAAGCCUGAUCCAGCCAUGCCGCGUGCAGGAUGAAGGCCUUCGGGUUGUAAACUGCUUUUGUACGGAACGAAAAGCCUUCUUUUAAUACAGGAGGGUCAUGACGGUACCGUAAGAAUAAGCACCGGCUAACUACGUG